UGAGGUAGACUUGUAGCCAAUGCAAUUAGCAGUCAUAGUGUUAAGAUAUAUCAAGUUAAUUACCAACAUCGAUCGUUUAAUUGGUUCACGAUCAACAAAGUAGCCAUCUCAUUUACUGAAGAAACAGAAUAAUCAAAUUAACUCUAGUGUCCGCGCGUUUCAGUAUUUGCCACAAGAAUUCGCGACUUGUGAGCAUGGCUCAGUUUGCUCUGCGUAACUCGAUUCAAUUGGUAUGCAUGAUAUCAGAGAGAAAAGAUGGAUCUUUCCGGUCCUUCCGUGUUCAUGUAUGCACAAACUGAAGGAAUAAUGAUGAUCAAGAACACAGAUGAAAUCAGAUUAACCAUACUAGUUCAAUCUGCUAAUCAAUUAAUAAUACAACUGCCCUUGCAAAUAUAUGGCAAUAGUUAGCAGCAUGCAUUUGAACCCGGCCUAAAACCACAACUCGAGAUACCAACUCGAUCAUAAGCUCUCAUACGUACUAGCUAACUAGCGCCUUUACCUCAAUCAUGCCCUCGUAAGUCGAUCGUAACUGAGAACCAGAAUAUCACCCUAUUCAAAUUAGUCAGCACAAUAUAAAGGAAACAACUCAAACAAGUAUAUGUGUUUGUACGUAGUUUUCGAUCGCUCCAGAACCAGAACAUGCAUGUCUGCAUACUAAUCAUUGUAAAAGCAAAACUACGUACCAUGUAUAUCAAUCUUCCUUAACUCUCAACCUGUAUAUUUUGUUCCAAUAAUUAACCAGCAUCAGUAGCAUGUAUGCAACAUCAAGAAAUUGGUUCAUCGAUCAGCUCACCGCCCUGGAUGUCAUGAUGAUGAACAAAAUGACAAUCCUCCAGAAAAGAUUUGUGAUGACUUCUAAAUAUAUAUAUUAGUUCUUACAUUUCGGCCUAAUAACAGUCACUGUACUUAUCUGAAGUGUACGUAUUAUCUAGACGUACUCUAGCUAGAUUGUCCCCUCCUAAUUACCUCGAUCAUCUAUACAAUACAUAAUAUCUACAAGUGUAAGAGGUUUCCAUACCCUAUUUCUGUAACUUCAGAGCCUCAGAGAGUCAGAGGUACGAUGCUACGUACCUUCAUCAUCAUCGUCAUCAUGUCAGGCCGGCUUCAUCACCUUCAUGCACAAACAUCUAACAGCUGUAGCUGUAGCAAACUAGAAGAAGACGUACUGAUCACUGCCACCGUACGUACAACCAAACAGGCGAUCGCGCCUAUCUUGUAGUGAAGUUUCCAUACCUCUGUCGUGAGUGUCGUCGCAGACUCGCCGGAUCUAAAUGUUGGCUAGGUAAGCGUACGUCAUGUGAUGAGAUCGAUAGAGCGCAGUAAUGGAUCAUGUAGACCAUCCCCACGAGGCUGGUGAUCGAAGAGCUUGUAAGUUUUAACCCCACGAGGUUUAUAUGUUUCUCCAAGCUAGUACACCUUAAGCUUCUUAUAGUGACAUUAUAUAUAAAGGAAACAUAUGCAUGUUUCUUGUUUUGAAGUUUCGUAUUUGAGAACUGUUUUCAUUAGGGAAAAUUAGCUGUUGAUUAAUGGCUUUAAAUGGUACACAUCCAAAUCAGCUUGUCAAUCCAUCUGUUUUCAUAUGUCUUAAUAAUAUUCUAGUCGAUCCUCUUUGCUUGCAGUAUGAUCAUUUCAUGGGCAAGAGUGACAAGCCCUCCCACGAGACUUUUCAGAGAUUAUUGGCUUCUUGUCCAUUACUUCAGAAAAUGAUAUGCCUAGAAUCCUAGAUGAAUAACAACACGUGCAAGUACGUUGGUGAACAUUUCAAAACUAUUAUCAAGUUUGCAUAGAGAAACAAUGAAAUGAUCGAUCUAGCAUUACUCUUUAUUUUUUUAUAUGAAAUUAAUACAUUCCUUUCGACAGUUAUAGUAAUUCUAAAGUGGUGGACAAUUAAGUUUCAAUAUAUCAAAAUCUGCUAUGCCCAAAGUCGAUCGUAAUUCUAAGUUCGUUACAUAUCUCCGCAACAAAGUGUUUAUCACCAUAACCUAAAUUAGAUAAGCUUUCUCAUUAUCGUCACACCUAAUCAUACCAAACUUAUAACGUACGUUGUUACAUAUCUCCACAACAAAGUCUUGAUCAUCAUAACCAAAAUUCGAUAAACAUUCUGCCUUUCUCGUUAUUGUCA
This 2122-nucleotide long non-coding RNA is filed under the name Fragaria vesca (wild strawberry). RNAcentral describes it as "long non-coding RNA (FVES_LNC000450)". Lineage: Eukaryota; Viridiplantae; Streptophyta; Magnoliopsida; Rosales; Rosaceae. The record is from RNAcentral.